GAUGAACGCUAGCGGCAGGCCUAAUACAUGCAAGUCGGACGGGAUUCAGGAGCUUGCUUCUGAUGAGAGUGGCGCACGGGUGCGUAACACGUAUGUAACCUACCUUUAUCAGGGGGAUAGCCUCUCGAAAGAGAGAUUAAGCCCGCAUAAAAUCACAGCACAGCAUUGUGUAAUGAUCAAAUAUUUAUAGGAUAAAGAUGGGCAUGCGGAACAUUAGCUAGAUGGCGGGGUAACGGCCCACCAUGGCGACGAUGUUUAGGGGAUCUGAGAGGAUGGCCCCCCACACUGGUACUGAGACACGGACCAGACUCCUACGGGAGGCAGCAGUAAGGAAUAUUGGUCAAUGGGCGGAAGCCCGAACCAGCCAUGCCGCGUGCAGGAAGACGGCCCUACGGGUUGUAAACUGCUUUUAUACGGGAAUAAACCCAGAUACGUGUAUCUGGCUGAAUGUACUGUAAGAAUAAGGAUCGGCUAACUCCGUG
RNAcentral lists this ribosomal RNA (482 nucleotides) under uncultured bacterium. Its description in RNAcentral is "partial 16S ribosomal RNA". It matches the Rfam family "Bacterial small subunit ribosomal RNA", at positions 28 to 507 of the family's 1533-position model. The record is from RNAcentral.